CUUGAAAACAUCCAUCAGUGGCGGCUUUCUUCGAUUUCGAUUUGGCAGGAACUAAACCUUUUAGGUUAUCACAAACUUCCCCAAUCGACUCAUACAGGGUUGCCAGUAGAAGGCGUCCUAAGGCAAAAUGGCAUCCUUCAUGUAUUUGCACAGCCAUGGGUAUAAAUUUCCUAGCAAUUUGGAGAGAUCGAGAGCAAAAUACAUAAUGGGAUAGCCAUAGAGUGAGAAAGGCCACAUGUUCCUCAUCUGAGACUUCUUCAUUCUCAGGUCCUGAAUGUUUGAGGAUAAAGGCAGAAAAGGCGUUUUCUUUGUAGUUUAGAGUGAUGUUAUCACUAACAUCAUCAGGGCUGUAAGUUUUGCCAGUGGGUCUUAACCCUGUG
Molecule: long non-coding RNA, 380 nt
Filed under: Trifolium pratense (red clover)
Lineage: Eukaryota; Viridiplantae; Streptophyta; Magnoliopsida; Fabales; Fabaceae
Description: long non-coding RNA (TPRA_LNC007607)
Source: RNAcentral